RNAcentral lists this ribosomal RNA (386 nucleotides) under uncultured bacterium. RNAcentral describes it as "bacterial SSU rRNA". It matches the Rfam family "Bacterial small subunit ribosomal RNA", at positions 30 to 415 of the family's 1533-position model. The record is from RNAcentral.
AUUGAACGCUGGCGGCAGGCCUAACACAUGCAAGUCGAGCGGUAGAGAGGUGCUUGCAUCUCUUGAGAGCGGCGGACGGGUGAGUAAUGCCUAGGAAUCUGCCUAGUGGUGGGGGAUAACGUUCGGAAACGGACGCUAAUACCGCAUACGUCCUACGGGAGAAAGCGGGGGAUCUUCGGACCUCGCGCCAUUAGAUGAGCCUAGGUCGGAUUAGCUAGUUGGUGAGGUAAUGGCUCACCAAGGCGACGAUCCGUAACUGGUCUGAGAGGAUGAUCAGUCACACUGGAACUGAGACACGGUCCAGACUCCUACGGGAGGCAGCAGUGGGGAAUAUUGGACAAUGGGCGAAAGACCUGAUCCAGCCAUGCCGCGUGUGUGAAGAAGGU